GGGCCGUGCUACCUUGGCCUCUGGGCUCUGGGGAUGGGAGGAGGGGAGGGUGAAAAGCAAUACCGGACGUCCCCGGACCCAUUCGGAUCGGAACGGUGCUUUAUAUCUCGUGGGCGAAUCAGGCAUCUUCAGCUGCACGCAUCCCGAUCAGAUAGACAGAGAUCAGUGAUCAAGCAGUGAGGCAUCGUUUUCGUACCAUAAAACUUUUUUUUCUUUUUGCGAGGCGGACCAUUAGACUUUUGUUUACAAGUAUGGGGAGACAAAAGCAAAUCAACCUUUCACUUGAUUUUCUCUCCUUUUCUUUUCUAGGCGCUGUCCACGGGAGUCGACAUGCGGCGAGAGGCCACGAGCACACGCAGAAGGAGAUGCCACGUACCGAGCUGACAUACAGCCCCAGACGACGCACUCCGUGUGACUGUCCUUGAUGUUUCAUACCUACUCCACUACUACUACUUGGGACUGCAUGUGCGGGCACAGACAGAGUUGCGCACAGACACGGGCGACAUGAAACGGAAAGAUCAAACAACAAGAAUACCAGCAGUUCUUUCGUGUAAUGUGGGAGGUUUGCUCUUCUCUAAACCAAAAUGUUGUCGUUGGCGGAAGCGGAACAGGACAGAGCUAAACAACCGUCCUCAUUUCUUGCGGUCCAGUGUAUUAUAUACUAAAAGCAAUACGAAGGGUACCGAGAGAAGUCUUCACGUUGAUCCACAUCACCUUAAUUAUUUCUAACCGUUAGAUAUGAGAUCUACGAGUCUACAAAUCGUUACGUAUCUGGAGCAUGAAGUAACCGGAUUUAACGCACGUAUAUCUUUUAAUUAUACGGACUCAAUCUACGAUGGCACAUACCCCGUACCCGUUUAAAUACACCAUCGAUACACAUAACACGUCCAUGCGCUGGACAAGCUUGACUAGAAGCCAUCCAGCCCGGCGAGUCGCAUGCAUGCUUAGUUGGUUCAUAAAUUAAUUAAUUUUCGCUAUAAAAAAUCAAUCAAUUAAAUCACUUUUCAGCCUACGCAACUGCAGGCAUGUAUUAUGAUAUAAGAAAAAAAAGGGCCAUGUAUCGGGAGCAAUUAACUGUUUCGAGCCGAGGAUUCGUCGGACUACGACGAGUCCUCAAAUAAUUGCUACGCCGUGAAGCUCAAAUAGGAAGUUUGCAUCUGAAAUUCCCAAUAUACCCAAUUUGCAAGAACAAAUCCUCAAAUCUGUGAGAUCCUCAAUUUGGAACUUAACAAAUCGAUGAAAUUUUUACCUCCUCGAGCGGGACGGGACACGGCAGCUCUGGGAUCCGAAGAAGGAGGCCUUCGAUGCAUGCCUCACCGGCAGUUUCGUGCCCGUGGAGACCUAAAUGAAGGCGGCCGCAAACUCUUGUUGGGCAGCCGGAAACAGAGGUGCUCGCUCCAGGAAACUCGCGCCAGAACUGGAGGGGGGAGACCCGAACAACCUACGAAACAGACGGGUGGCGGGCCACAACAGAAUACCUCUCCGGCGUCCUGGUAGUGACGAAAUCUUCAGGCGGGAGACGGCAGGGAAAAAGGAAAGAAGAAGGCGCGAGCGGAAAUCUCCUCGACUCAACCGUUUUUUACAGGCGCGAGGGGUGGUAUUCGGUAGAACGGAAUAGAUUUUUGCAGAUUUCCAAAAUAUGGCGUACAUUUCCAGGUCGUUUUUUUCGCCAAAAACCGUAGAACGGCGGUCAUUUUUCGGAUCUGGCCGAUAUGCGGGAUCUGCUGGAGAUGCUCUGACUAACUGCACCAGCGGAUUGGGACUACAAGUUAUUUCGUGAAUUAGCAGGGCUCACUUCAACAACCGUAACACGGAAAAUUCUGAUGUGUAAACAAGCUCCGUAUUUGAAGUGUUCAAGGUUUCGGAAACACCUCUUCAUCUAUUCUUAUGUUUUAUAUUUUAUAUACUAAAACAAUAUGAGGGGUACCGAGUGAAUACUUCACACUGAUCUACGUCACAACCUUCGCAUUUGAAGUGGUUAGCCUUUCAUACAUUAUACUAAAAUCUAUCUAUUAUUAUAUACUAAACGCAAUAUGAAGGGUACCAAGGGAGGCUUCACACCAAUCCACGCCACAAGCUUCGUAUUUGAUGUGGUCAAGGUUUCAUUCAUUCGUUAUUUCUUUGUAUGGUGUCAAACGUUACAUACUGCAUUAGAUGAUAAACACCACAAAACAACUUUUUUUUAUUGUUUUUUUCAUAGAUCAACGGACAUUUAAAGAACUCUAAGUAUAAUUCUACAUGCCAACACAUGAUUCUAAAUUUAUUUAGGGCUACUAAUUAACAUCGUAUACCGGCUAAAUAACAAACAGAAAACACUUAAUCAAAUAUCGCUAAGUCAAAAAAGCAAAUAGCCAACCCACGUUCUAAACUUUAAUGCAGGUAUUGAUAGCAUAAACACGUAAAACUUUAAUCUCAGAUGAUGACUUUAAAAAUAAUUAUACCUACUAAUAUAGCUUGACGUACACACGAAUACACGAUCUAUCGGUAUAAAAGGGUGAUUGGCCAAUUCAGCUUGUGAACUAUAUUUUUUUUUACAUAUGUUAUUUAUAUACCACACAUGAUCGGUUCCCUUCGGUAGCUAAUAUCCACCGUAGUUUUCCCUGCUAUCACGUGCUCUGGAUAGCACAUCGACAAGGUGUCACUACUCUGGUAUGCGUUUUACCUUGGAGGGAUCAUCUACUUUGAUGCUAGAUUGGUGGAUCGUUCUGGAGAAAUUCUAGCGGCUAGGAGGUAUAAGCUAGCUACGGGGAUUUGCAACAUGCUUCACCAACGUCUACUCCCAAUACACCAUUGGCGAGUUAGAGAGUGAUCUUGGGUUGUUCGUACGGUAGCAAAAUUAUAAAUUACUGGCCUUAAUUCGAGAUGCAUGGCUAAUAUCACCUCAAAUAAUUAAUUUACAUUUUUGCAAGAAUAAGACAGUAACAAGUAUUUGAGCAAUUAUAACUAUGCAUCUCAACAUGUGGCCCUAUUAGGUAAAGACAGGAUGUUCGUAGGUGAUCUGAACUUUUCUCUUCUUCACAAAGGGGUAAUACUUGGGCCAUCUGAACUUUAACUAUAAGUACUUGGUUAAUAUCACCAACAAACUAUCAAUUAGUCAGACGCUAAAUUUGAAUGAUCUAACCUUUAGUACUGGAUUUUGGUAUAAUAUAGCAUACAAAUAAAAGAAAUCCUAAGGUCGAAAACAUGAUUGACUCCUUGUAUACACUUUUAUACUUUAAAGAGUUGUUAUAUUGAUUAAUUCUACUUUUCCAUACGUAUACACUAGGGUUGAUUAAUUCUGCUUUGAACAGUAAAUAGUACAUCAAUACAUAUCUACGUUAAUUAGAAAAUAAAAUUGAUUAAAAUUGUUUGCGCGGGACAUCAUCAUGCUAGUUCUGGUGUAAAGAUAGUAACCGUCCAGUUGUGCAUAAGGACAUCCUGGAGUCCUGGACGACGAUAAAUCUGCCGAUUCACUUCCACGUCAGUGUCCUUUCUCCGUGAAGGAUUACUUUUCAAAGGGUAGAUGAACCGCUGAACUAGUAAUGCAGAUGGGUCCAUCAACCAAACCGCAAAUGUUUCCGUUCAGGAAAAGAAAACAGCAAAUGCAAACCCAUGGACACCAAGGUGGAACGAAACAGGCUCACACCUAGCGUCCAGAACGCUCCCGUGUGUCCCCCACAUGUCAUUUAGACGUAACAUUCCGCACCACAAUUUUCACGACUCACCUUGGAUCCCUUGGCACUACUCCAGGCAGCAGACGGGCACACCCUUCUAUAAAUGGGACCCAAUGCUCGCAGUUUCUCAUCGCCCCGUCCAAAACCUUCCUUCUUCCUGACUUCACACAAUCCAACCCUCCCCCAAAACCCCGAGAAGAUCGAAGAUGUUCGGCUUCGGUCACCACGGCCACCAUGGCCAGAACCCACCGGCCCACGCCCCAACUACCGCCGGCGGCCACCAGCCCACCUUCAAGAUCUUCUGCAAGGCCGACGAGGGUUACUGCCUCUCCGUCCGCGACGGCAACGUCGUCCUCGCCCCCACCAACCCCCGCGACGAGCACCAGCACUGGUUCAAGGACAUGCGCUUCAGCACCAACAUCAAGGACGAGGAGAACAACCCCGCCUUCGCGCUCGUCAACAAGGCCACUGGUCUCGCCGUGAAGCACUCCCUGGGCCAGAGCCACCCGGUUCGGCGUCUUCUCCCCUCUUCCUCAUCCGAACGUAGAUCUGUUCUUCAGUGCUUUGAAAUGGAAGUAGAGUGAUGAUUUUUUUUGGGCGUGCAGGUGAAGCUGGUGCCGUUCAACCCGGAUUUCCAAGAUGAGUCCGUGCUGUGGACGGAGAGCGGCGACGUCGGCAAGGGCUUCCGCUGCAUCCGCAUGGUGAACAACAUCCGCCUCAACUUCGACGCCCUCAACGGCGACAAGGACCACGGCGGUGUGCACGACGGCACCACCGUUGUCCUCUGGGAGUGGGCCAAGGGCGACAACCAGAGCUGGAAGAUCCUCCCCUGGGGCGACGAGGCCUACGCCGGCGGCAGCGCCAACGCGCCCCGCGGCGGCCCCUCUGAGCCCACCGUCCGCAUCUUCUGCAAGGCUGACGAGGGCUUCAGCGCCACCGUCCGCAACGGCACCGUCUGCCUCGCGCCCACCAACCCCCGCGACGACCACCAGCACUGGAUCAAGGACAUGAGGCACAGCAACCGCAUCAAGGACGAGGAAGGCUACCCCGCCUUCGCCCUCGUCAACAAGGUCACUGGCGAGGCCAUCAAGCACUCCCAGGGGGAGGGUCACCCUGUAAGCAACAAUCCAGCUUGGCCACCCAAAUCGUAUUCUGUUUCAUCAGUUUUACACACAAAAAAAUGGUAGCAUUCGGGUAUUGAUCUGAGAGAUUAAUAAGACAUUUUCUGCUUGUUUGUUCCAUCAGGUGAAGCUGGUGCCGUACAACCCGAACUACCAGGACGAGUCGGUGCUGUGGACCGAGAGCCGCGACGUGGGUGCCGGCUUCCGGUGCAUCCGCAUGGUGAACAACAUCUACCUCAACUUCGACGCCCUCCACGGCGACAAGGACCACGGCGGCGUGCGCGACGGCACCUCCCUCGUGCUCUGGAAGUGGUGCGAGGGCGACAACCAGCGCUGGAAGAUCCUCCCCUGGUGUAAGUGUCGGCGCCCCUAGCUCACUCUCUACUACCAUGUUGCUAGCUAGUGGAAAACUCUGCUCAGCUUUACCCAACGACAUCAUCAUAAUAAAUCAUAGUAAUAAAUUAGUGGACGGCAGAAGUUUGUUGGGUUAUCUGACAUCUUUUGAAUUAUUGCGUCGUCCUCGCGGAAAAAGGAGAAAAGGUAUUAAUGUGUUUUAUUUGUUGCUUGUGUUUGCAGA
RNAcentral lists this long non-coding RNA (5351 nucleotides) under Brachypodium distachyon (stiff brome). Its description in RNAcentral is "long non-coding RNA (BDIS_LNC001305)". Lineage: Eukaryota; Viridiplantae; Streptophyta; Magnoliopsida; Poales; Poaceae. The record is from RNAcentral.